Molecule: ribosomal RNA, 1139 nt
Filed under: uncultured organism
Description: bacterial SSU rRNA
Rfam family: Bacterial small subunit ribosomal RNA
Source: RNAcentral
GAGAGUGGCGCAAGGGUGAGUAACACGUGAGUAAUCUGCCCCGAAGUCUGGGAUAGCCCAUGGAAACGUGGAUUAAUACCGGAUGUGGCUGUAUGAACUGCGGUUCUAACAGUUAAAGAUUCAUCGCUUCGGGAUGAGCUCGCGGUCCAUCAGCUUGUUGGUGAGGUAACGGCUCACCAAGGCGACGACGGAUAGCUGGUCUGAGAGGAUGACCAGUCACACUGGGACUGAGACACUGCCCAGACUCCUACGGGAGGCUGCAGUCGAGAAUCUUCCGCAAUGGGCGCAAGCCUGACGGAGCGAUGCUGCGUGCCGGACGAAGGCCUUCGGGUCGUAAACGGCUGUCACUCGGGACGAAUUUUGACGGUACCGAGAGAGGAAGCCACGGCUAACUACGUGCCAGCAGCCGCGGUAAUACGUAGGUGGCGAGCGUUAUUCGGAAUUAUUGGGCCUAGAGGGUUCGUAGGGGGUAAUGUAAGUCCGGUGUGAAAUCUCGAGGCUCAACCUCGAAACUGCAUUGGAAACUGCAUUACUUGAGUGUCAGAGAGGAAAGCGGAAUUCCUGGUGUAGAGGUGGAAUGCGUAGAUAUCAGGAAGAACACCGACGGCGGAGGCAGCUUUCUGGCUGGCAACUGACCCUGAUGAACGAAAGCUAGGGUAGCGAACAGGAUUAGAUACCCUGGUAGUCCUAGCUGUAAACGUUGUGCACUGGAUGUGGGCGGAUUUGGUCCCGUCUGUGUCUGAGCGAAAGGCGUUAAGUGCACCGCCUGGGGACUACGGGCGCAAGGCUAAAACUCAAAGGAAUUGACCGGGGCCCGCACAAGCGGUGGAGCAUGUGGCUCAAUUCGAGGGCACGCGAAGAAACUUACCUGGGUUUGACAUAUACCCGAACCGACGGUGAGAGCCGGUUUCUCUUUGAGCAGGUAUACAGGUGCUGCAUGGCUGUCGACAGCUCGUGCUGUGAAGUGUUCGGUUAAGUCCGGCAACGAGCGCAACCCACGCUGUUAGUUACCAUCAGGUAAUGCUGGGGACUCUAACAGGACUGCCCGUUGCUAAGCGGGAGGAAGGCGUGGACGACGUCAAGUCCGCAUGGCCAUUACGCCCAGGGCUGCACACGUGCUACAAUGGCCGGUACAGAGG